GUGACAGCAGCCGCGGUAAGACGGAGGGUGCAAACGUUGUUCGGAAUUACUGGGCGUAAAGCGCGUGUAGGCGGUCCGAAAAGUCGGGUGUGAAAUCCCUCGGCUCAACCGAGUGAAUUGCAUUCGAUACUGCCGGACUGGAGUUCGGGAGAGGGACGUGGAAUUCCCGGUGUAGAGGUGAAAUUCGUAGAUAUCUGGAGGAAUACCGGUGGCGAAGGCGGCAUCCUGGACCGGCAUUGACGCUGAGGAGCGAAAGCUAGGGGAGCAAACGGGAUUAGAAACCCCCGUAGUCC
This 293-nucleotide ribosomal RNA is filed under the name uncultured bacterium. RNAcentral's name for it is "partial 16S ribosomal RNA". It matches the Rfam family "Bacterial small subunit ribosomal RNA", at positions 505 to 796 of the family's 1533-position model. The record is from RNAcentral.